ACGAAGGGUGCAAGCGUUACUCGGAAUUACUGGGCGUAAAGGGUGCGUAGGUGGUUUUUUAAGUCUGCUGUGAAAUCCCCGGGCUCAACCUGGGAAUGGCAGUGGAUACUGGAGAGCUGGAGUGCGGUAGAGGGUAGUGGAAUUCCCGGUGUAGCGGUGAAAUGCGUAGAGAUCGGGAGGAACAUCAGUGGCGAAGGCGGCCAUCUGGGACAACACUGACGCUGAGGCACGGAAGCAUGGGGAGCGAACGGGA
Molecule: ribosomal RNA, 253 nt
Filed under: uncultured prokaryote
Description: partial 16S ribosomal RNA
Rfam family: Bacterial small subunit ribosomal RNA
Source: RNAcentral